UCAUAGAUUAAUUGAUUGAGGAUAAUUAUCUUGACCAUCUUCUAGUACAUUCUUUCUACUUCCCACAAGCAAACAAACAAAACAAACACACACACUUGUUGUCGUGAUGGAAACAUCAGGUCCCUCAACUUCAACUAACACUCCCUGACCUCGACCCUCCCUCCGCUGUUUCCGUUGCGCUUGUUUCAAACGUUGUUGUCGCUGUUUCUGUUGCUUCUACUCCUCCCCAUAGGUAAAUUUUCACUUUAUUGCUUAUCCUAUGUUUCAUCCUCUUUCAUUAUCCAUCUUGUGGUAUCAUGUUUCUUCCUACUAAAUUAUAAAUGUAUAUUUUAUGAGAAAAAAAAUGUAUCCUAUAUAUGAGUUUGAUACCAUCAUCAUAUUCAUGUACAUGUAAAUCUUUUUACAAUGACAUUACAUAGAUACUACUCUUUUAUUACAAUAAAUGGCAUAUGCACUUGUUUUAUGUUACAAUUUUAGGAUUUCUUCGGUUUAAAUGUGCUGUGUGCCAAAUGAUUUUGUUUGGUAAUUUCUACCUCUGUUUUCUGUAAUAUGUCUUAAUAUAUAUAAUCACAUUUGACCAAAUAAGGUUAUUUUAUUCUUUUUCUUUUAGCACAUAGCUGAUAGCCCCAUUAGUUUUUUUCUUCAUUCUUUUAAUCAAAUAAGCUUCUGCGUCACAAAUGAUUGUGCAGUCCCCUCCUGAAAUUUUAAAUUUUUGUAACGGGAAAGAAAUAAAGUGAACUUGCUGUGUGAUUGAGAAUAGUAUGACCAAGUUUGCAAUGAGUUAACUCCAUAGGUGUUUAUUUUUAUAUGUACUAAAUUGGACCCUUCGAUUUUAAAAUUGUUUUUUCUGCUUUUUCAAUGUCUUACCUAUUCUAAUCUUAAUGAAUGUCAAACAAACAGUAAAUGAACUAAGAUGUCCUUGUAACAUCUUUAUAUUUUCGGGUUUAAGAAUACAUUAAGGCCAAGAAAAUGGUGGAUUUAGUGUUUUAAAUUGCGGUCAUGGUUGCGAUUACUGUGAUCAUGGUCGUUGCAAUUAAAAAAAAUAUUUUUGCAUUUGAGUGGCCCAAAUGCGGUCUGAUACGACCCAAAUACAGUCUGAUGUGGUCUAAAUGCAGUCUGAUGCAGUUGCAAUGCGGUCCGAUGUGAUUGUAUCACUGUGAUUGGUGUCACACCGCAAUUGUGUUGUAAUGCGGUUGCCGUGGUCACCUUAACUAAAAUAUUGCGGCCAUAUCACAUGAUGCGGUUCGCAAUUUGAUUCACCGGAUUGAAAAAAGUAGUCUUGGAAGCUAUAUGAGAAUAUAAUAAGGAUUAAGUUUUGGGUGCUUUCAAUAUGUCCUAUGAUAGAAGGUUGAAUUUUUUGAGCUACUAAGAACAAACUAGAGUAUGAUAUAUUGUUGGUUUGGCACAAUCUAAGAUAUGCAUCAAUUAGAUGCAAGUCAUGUCUUAUGUACUAUUGCCUAUGGGAGUAACUUCUGGGCAUGAGAGCAUGAUAUCCCUAUAUAUAUUAAGUUUAUUCUUGGACCUUAAGGCAAUUGCUAUGUAGUUUCAGUGUUUAAACAAAUUAUUUACCAUUUGGUUUUCUGAUUUUCAUUCUAUUUUACUCAAGUCCCUUUAUUUCAUCCAUAUUUAGGUACUGCAAGGAUAUCAAGAGACUGAUUAGAGGAUGAUUUUGCAAUGAUCUUCAGAAUAAUAAAGAUAUAAAUGAGCUCAGAAAUCAAGUCGGGACAUUUUCUCUUUCUUUUUAGUGAUUUCUUCUGUUUUGUCCCUUGCUCAUAUCUUCACAAUGUUAGCUUCUGUAAAUUAUGUAUGCAUUUAUAAGUGAGGUCAUUGCCAUGUCCAUACACUAAAUUAUGUUUAAAUGACACUGCUUUAGCAGGAAUUAUAAAAAUAAAGAGGUGUUACUUUUUUGUUCUCAUCUUGAUGUCAUUUCAAGCGUGU
Molecule: long non-coding RNA, 1938 nt
Filed under: Lupinus angustifolius (narrow-leaved blue lupine)
Lineage: Eukaryota; Viridiplantae; Streptophyta; Magnoliopsida; Fabales; Fabaceae
Description: long non-coding RNA (LANG_LNC000348)
Source: RNAcentral